ACCAGACUCCUACGGGAGGCAGCAGUGGGGGAUAUUGCACAAUGGGGGGAACCCUGAUGCAGCGACGCCGCGUGGGUGAAGAAGCGCCUCGGCGCGUAAAGCCCUGUCAGCAGGGAAGAAAAUGACGGUACCUGAAGAAGAAGCCCCGGCUAACUACGUGCCAGCAGCCGCGGUAAUACGUAGGGGGCAAGCGUUAUCCGGAUUUACUGGGUGUAAAGGGGGCGCAGACGGCGAUGCAAGCCAGGAGUGAAAGCCCGGGGCCCAACCCCGGGACUGCUCUUGGAACUGCGUGGCUGGAGUGCAGGAGGGGCAGGCGGAAUUCCUAGUGUAGCGGUGAAAUGCGUAGAUAUUAGGAGGAACACCAGUGGCGAAGGCGGCCUGCUGGACUGCAACUGACGUUGAGGCUCGAAGGCGUGGGGAGCAAACAGGAUUAGAUACCCCGGUAAG
Molecule: ribosomal RNA, 447 nt
Filed under: uncultured bacterium
Lineage: Bacteria
Description: bacterial SSU rRNA
Rfam family: Bacterial small subunit ribosomal RNA
Source: RNAcentral